CGCUCUGCUUCGGGCUUCCAACCUCGUCACCACGGGUUCGCAGGAAUCCUGGAAACGCCCACCGGCUGUGGGCGGGGCUGUGCGAGGGUGGUCUCGAGGGUGGCCUUACCUUCUCCUCGCCGGGCAGGCGGAGGCACAGGCCACAGCCUUUCCUUCGCGAUCAUCGGCGAAUAUCUUCGCUUUGUCUUUCCACCCUCAUCUCUGCGCCAUCCCCGUCUUCCUCUCUCAAUGCUGACCUCCAAAGAAAAUGACCCCGUUUUUUAGAUUUCAUGAUAAUUGUGUCAAACAUCGGAGUACUUCUAGACCAGUCUUCAUGUGUUUCAUGGGAAGCUGGUCGACCAUCAUGGACGAAGGAGGUCUUGCGCUCCUCCUAGUCUUUAGGUGUACAAAGGUUACCCAUUUCAGCUCCAAUCAAUCGCCCUGCGGAUUCCAAUAUCGUCGUCACGGGAAUGGCGAACAUCGAAUCUUUGAGGAGCAUCUCUCUAGCUUUCCUCAUCAUCUUCAAAAGCACAACGAAACGGCUUGUUCAAUCACAUGGAUAGUUCGUCUGUCUGACCAAUUUUCAAGGCAUGGAUGGAAUCAACUUCCUGCAGUUAGUGGGCAGCUCUGAGAUAAGAUCGGGGGAUGAAUACGUAGGCAAGUGGUGCAAAAUUGAAUCGGUUGAAAUUCUUGUGUUAGGAAAUCAAUAUCACUUCGUAAGAACGAUGCUGCCGCUCUGUAUCAGACAUACUUGUCAAUCCUGGAUUGUAUUAUACUUGGUGGUAUCCAGUCGGACAAGGAAGGGGAUUGGGGAAGAUCUCGUUGUGGGAGUUGUUGCGUGACCGCAUUUACUUCGCUAGCGCUAGAUUUCCGUCCCCCACUUGGAUUCGACUUCUACAACUCCACCCACUCCAACUCGUUUGUUUUGUUUCGGUCUUGGCAGUUUUUGUCCAGAUGUGAUUCAACAUUCGGUGGGCAUCGUCCAUGUGAGGUCGCUCUUACGGUCUGCUUCUGGUGCAAAGAAGCGCUAUUCCCAGCACCAUGACGGUGUUAUGGUUGAUGCGACGGAAGACUGGUCAUAAGUUGGGGAUCAAGCACGUUUUUAUGACUUGAUCGAGAUUAGAGAGAUUUGCAGGGUCAAUGCAUCAUACUCUACCACAUUGAAUCCUCCAUGUUGAGAAAAUUGGAAUCAGGUCUAGUGGGGACUCAAAUAAUCAGGUUCUUGUGCAAGCUCCGAUGCAAACUAUCAUUGGACCAACAAAUGAGUUUCCUUCUUCCCGGUCACAAACCUCGUGUUGCAAAAUUACCAAUUCUCUUGGUGGAUCCACCAAUCAUGUAUUCACAACACUACAUCACACAUUGUAAUAAAAAUUUGUCUUCAAACAAAGACAUAUAUAUAUAUAUAUAUAUAUAUCCAUACAAAAAGCUACUAUUUCAAAACAAUAGUACAACAAAAAAAAUUAUUGUUGUAAAGAUGUAGGCUAAGCUUUUAUUUUUCUAUGUAGAAAAAAAUUCACUUGUAGAAAUUCACUGAUCCAUAGGAAUCCACUUAUCUGUAGAAAUUUAUACAAAAAGACUUG
Molecule: non-coding RNA, 1559 nt
Organism: Physcomitrium patens
Lineage: Eukaryota; Viridiplantae; Streptophyta; Bryopsida; Funariales; Funariaceae
Source: RefSeq, a predicted model, not a curated record